UCGUGUCGUGAGAUGUUGGGUUAACGUCCCGCAACGAGCGCAACCUCGUCUUAGUUGCUAACAGUUCGGCUGAGCACUCUAGGGAGACUGCCUUCGCAAGGAGGAGGAAGGUGAGGACGACGUCAAGUCAUCAUGGCCCUUACGGCCAGGGCUACACACGUGCUACAAUGGGGCGUACAGAGAGCUGCGAUACCGCGAGGUGGAGCCAAUCUCUUAAAGCGUCUCUCAGUUCGGAUUGUUCUCUGCAACUCGAGAACAUGAAGCUGGAAUCACUAGUAAUCGCAGAUCAGCUAUGCUGCGGUGAAUACGUUCCCGGGUCUU
Molecule: ribosomal RNA, 321 nt
Filed under: uncultured Sulfuricurvum sp.
Lineage: Bacteria; Pseudomonadati; Campylobacterota; Epsilonproteobacteria; Campylobacterales; Sulfurimonadaceae
Description: bacterial SSU rRNA
Rfam family: Bacterial small subunit ribosomal RNA
Source: RNAcentral